CCGGAUUGAUUGCUAUGUAAAUC
Molecule: small nuclear RNA, 23 nt
Filed under: Arabidopsis thaliana (thale cress)
Lineage: Eukaryota; Viridiplantae; Streptophyta; Magnoliopsida; Brassicales; Brassicaceae
Description: snRNA_08201
Source: RNAcentral